This 161-nucleotide ribosomal RNA is filed under the name Amanita gardneri. Its description in RNAcentral is "5.8S ribosomal RNA". It matches the Rfam family "5.8S ribosomal RNA". From Rfam's summary of the family: 5.8S ribosomal RNA (5.8S rRNA) is a component of the large subunit of the eukaryotic ribosome. It is transcribed by RNA polymerase I as part of the 45S precursor that also contains 18S and 28S rRNA. The record is from RNAcentral. Lineage: Eukaryota; Fungi; Basidiomycota; Agaricomycetes; Agaricales; Amanitaceae.
ACAACUUUCAACAACGGAUCUCUUGGCUCUCACAUCGAUGAAGAACGCAGCGAAAUGCGAUAAGUAAUGUGAAUUGCAGAAUUCAGUGAAUCAUCGAAUCUUUGAACGCACCUUGCGCUCCUUGGUAUUCCAAGGAGCAUGCCUGUUUGAGUGUCAUUAAA